UACGUAGGUGGCAAGCGUUGUCCGGAAUUAUUGGGCGUAAAGCGCGCGCAGGCGGUUUCUUAAGUCUGAUGUGAAAGCCCCCGGCUCAACCGGGGAGGGUCAUUGGAAACUGGGAAACUUGAGUGCAGAAGAGGAAAGUGGAAUUCCAAGUGUAGCGGUGAAAUGCGUAGAGAUUUGGAGGAACACCAGUGGCGAAGGCGACUUUCUGGUCUGUAACUGACGCUGAGGCGCGAAAGCGUGGGGAGCAAAC
RNAcentral lists this ribosomal RNA (250 nucleotides) under uncultured bacterium. Its description in RNAcentral is "partial 16S ribosomal RNA". It matches the Rfam family "Bacterial small subunit ribosomal RNA", at positions 524 to 773 of the family's 1533-position model. The record is from RNAcentral.